Molecule: ribosomal RNA, 822 nt
Filed under: uncultured Synechococcus sp.
Lineage: Bacteria; Bacillati; Cyanobacteriota; Cyanophyceae; Synechococcales; Synechococcaceae
Description: bacterial SSU rRNA
Rfam family: Bacterial small subunit ribosomal RNA
Source: RNAcentral
UAACGCUGGCGGCGUGCUUACACAUUGCAAGUCGAACGAACCUUCGGGUUAGUGGCGGACGGGUGAGUAACGCUAUCUGCCCUCAGGAGGGGGACAACAGUUGGAAACGACUGCUAAUACCCCAUAUGCCGCGAGGUGAAAUGAAUUUCGCCUGAGGAUGAGCUCGCGUCUGAUUAGCUAGUUGGUGUAGGUAAUGGCUCACCAAGGCAUCGAUCAGUAGCUGGUCUGAGAGGAUGAUCAGCCACACUGGGACUGAGACACGGCCCAGACUCCUACGGGAGGCAGCAGUGGGGAAUUUUCCGCAAUGGGCGAAAGCCUGACGGAGCAACGCCGCGUGAGGGAUGAAGGCCUCUGGGCUGUAAACCUCUUUUAUCAAGGCAAGAAGAUCUGACGGUACUUGAUGAAUAAGCCACGGCUAAUUCCGUGCCAGCAGCCGCGGUAAUACGGGAGUGGCAAGCGUUAUCCGGAAUUAUUGGGCGUAAAGCGUCCGCAGGCGGCCCUUCAAGGUCUGCUGUUAAAACAGUGGAGCUUAACCUCCAUCAUGGCAGUGGAAACUGUUGGGGCUUGAAGUGUGGUAGGGCCACGAGGGGAAUUCCCCGGUUGUACCGGGUAGAAAUUGCGUUAGAUUCUCGGGGAAGAACCACCAGUGGCCAAGGCGGCCCCUCUUGGGGCCAUUCACUGAAACGAGCUUCAAAUUGGAACCCGACACGCCAAGGGGAAGACGCAAAGGGGGAUUUAGGAUAACCCCCUGUUUAGUUCCUUGGCCGCUAACAAGAAUUAACAACUAGGUUGUACGGGGGAAUAGACACACCCUACGGUGUU